CAAGAGCUUGAAUUUCGAAAAUAUGAGCAUACUAGCAUGUCUCUUUUAACCUUGCGGGUUGGAGAUGAACACUACAGCUUGGUGUCAGCAACAAGAUUACUACCUAGCCUCAAUUAGAGCUUAAUUUUAGGGUGACUGAUUCUUGGGCUUCUCAACCGCCCCUGUGAAAUAUAAGCUUUAUGUUCAUUUCAAAAGAUUGCAAAUAUUUAUCUUAGUGUAGUUGUUUUACUGGUUAAAAAAGUUUGUGGUGAAUUUUUUUUUAAUGCUUUUCCUAUUCUAAUUCUUUUUCCUAUAUACAUAACAGUACUUAAAAGCAUCAGUUUGAAAAUUACUUACUUAAAAGAACUAUCAUGAGAAAUAUUUUACCUGGGACAAACUUGUCAAUUACAACAGUGUUGAGUCCUAAUGUUUGUUAGUUUCUCUUCUUCUAAAGUCCAGAUGUGUAUGUGCUUAACUUAGUGUCAAAGCAAUCAGUUCAUAGUGCCUGAGUGAUUGGUACAACUUACUAAAAAAGAAUUAAGUGAUUGUCAAUUUUAUUAUUCAUAUCAGACUGACUUGCUGUUGGUACAGGGCAAAAAAAAUGUGAUCUUCUCAAUCAGAUGGCUUUUAGGACUUCCUUGAUAAAGUGGAGCUUGUUGUCUUGAUGAUAAUGGAUUUGAGCACAAGUCCACAGAAGAUAUAUUCCGUUUAACAACUUAUUCUUUGAACACCCAUGCAAGAAUCUGCUUUUAAGGUCAAGGUGAGACCCUUUCACAGUUCUACUGAACAAAGUUCUUUUGUUUCUACCUGAACUCUUAUGUUGAUACUUGUUCAUCUUAGAAAUAUGUGGAAAUUUCCUAUAUGAGAAAAAAAAUUUCUGUGCAAGCAAACAUAAAAGCUUUCUUCCAACAGUACUGUCUAGAAGCAGUUUUCAGAUACCAAGAGAGAAUGCAUCUUCGGGUUUAUUAGAAGUAAGUGACAUAACUAUAUAUUUCCUUUCAAAUUAUGAAAUCAGUCUCAAUUGGUUAACAAAUAGAUUAGAGUAAAUCCUAAUUCUUUUCCAUCCAAAGGAUAUUCUAUUGAUCAGACAACUUGCAUAUAGAGUUAAUCAAAUGAUUUCAUUUGUCGUACUGGUGAGGAGCAUAGAUUAUAAUGUGGAGUUUUGUCUUAACUAAGCCAGGUGACUCACAUUUUGUAGGUUACAUGAUAAGGGCCACCAAUAUCGUCUUUUAAAACUAUGCAUUUUCUGCAUCAACAAUACGAGUAGGCUUGUGCUUUUGUGUAGUAGAGUGGCAAAAAAAGGAUACAUUAGACAUAUAUAGGUCACAUGUUGGAGCAAAUAAUGCAACCAAUUGCUGAGUUCUGCAUUACUGGCCUGCAGGAAGUCUCAUUAGCUAUCAAUGGUCUUGCAAUUGUUUGCUUUACAAGAAGUGCAUCUUACCAAAGAGAGAAAUAUGUCACUAAGAUAUGGUUGGAACUUCUGAAGUUAGUUUGAAAUCCAUGCACUAGUGACAAGGGGUAACUAAGAUCACAAAGUGAUCAUACUGCUGAUCUUUUUCCUACUGAGAGCGUCACCAAUAACAAUUGCCUAGCCCUGGUUUUGAAGAACUGCGGAUUACCAAGGAGAGAAAGUAUAGCACUAAGAUAAGGUUGGAACUUCUGAAGUUAGUUUGGAAUCCAUGUGCGGGUGACGGGGUAAUUAAGAUUAUAAUAUGAUUCAUGCUGCUGAUCUUUUCCUGUCACCAACAACAAUUGCUUACCCCUGGUUUUAGCCAUUUCAUGAUAAACUGAACUUGCAAUCUUGGUUUUUUUUUUUGGUUGGCUAUGGCAAAUCUAUGUUAUUGCUGUAAGGUAGAUCAUGAAUAUUUCAUAGGUUGCUUGUAUCUUUCUUAGUAAUUCAUAAUUUUAGACAUCGGUGUAUUUUGGUGAAUCCAUCUAUAAGUAAGUCUUUAUACUUGAAUUAUGGUGAGGAAAUUUAGGAAACUCUCCAUACAUGGAUGGAAUUUUGUGAUUCAAGUUUCCUGCAAGAGAUUUUUCUUGAGAUACCAGAUUUUUAAAAUAUUAUUGAA
Long non-coding RNA from Quercus lobata, 2048 nucleotides. RefSeq lists it as uncharacterized. The transcript has 4 exons. Lineage: Eukaryota; Viridiplantae; Streptophyta; Magnoliopsida; Fagales; Fagaceae. The record is from RefSeq and is a predicted model, not a curated record.